Molecule: long non-coding RNA, 266 nt
Filed under: Elaeis guineensis (African oil palm)
Lineage: Eukaryota; Viridiplantae; Streptophyta; Magnoliopsida; Arecales; Arecaceae
Description: long non-coding RNA (EGUI_LNC048813)
Source: RNAcentral
UCUAAUUGAUCAUUAAUUGAAUCAAUCAAGGUUGCUCUGAUAUCACUGUUGGAUUCGGGUAGUGUAAUGGAAUAGUGGAUUUUAAAAAUUUAUGAUCAUGAAAUCCAUAACAUCCGAAACCCUAGACCCAAGAUUCCUUGACUAAUUGCAAUUAAUGAACAACUAAUAAAGCAAUUAAGAAGUAGUUUAGAUAAAUACCUCUUAUGCUAAAUUUUUAAAUCUCCACAGACACACAAGCAUAUGCCCUUCAUAAAUAAUCCACACAG